CAGUCGCCACGGUAAUACGUAGGGUGCAAGCGUUAAUCGGAAUUACUGGGCGUAAAGCGUGCGCAGGCGGUUAUAUAAGACAGAUGUGAAAUCCCCGGGCUCAACCUGGGAACUGCAUUUGUGACUGUAUAGCUAGAGUACGGCAGAGGGGGAUGGAAUUCCGCGUGUAGCAGUGAAAUGCGUAGAUAUGCGGAGGAACACCGAUGGCGAAGGCAAUCCCCUGGGCCUGUACUGACGCUCAUGCACGAAAGCGUGGGGAGCAAACAGGAUUAGAUACCCCAGUAGUCCCUGUCUCUUAUAC
Molecule: ribosomal RNA, 301 nt
Filed under: uncultured bacterium
Lineage: Bacteria
Description: partial 16S ribosomal RNA
Rfam family: Bacterial small subunit ribosomal RNA
Source: RNAcentral